UACGUAGGGGGCAAGCGUUGUCCGGAAUCAUUGGGCGUAAAGAGCGUGUAGGCGGCUCGGUAAGUCCGCUCUGAAAGCCCGGGGCUCAACCCCGGGAGGCGGGCGGAUACUGUCGGGCUAGAGUCCGGAAGAGGCGAGUGGAAUUCCUGGUGUAGCGGUGAAAUGCGCAGAUAUCAGGAGGAACACCUGUGGCGAAAGCGGCUCACUGGACCACAACUGACGCUGAGGCGCGAAAGCUAGGGGAGCAAACAGG
This 253-nucleotide ribosomal RNA is filed under the name uncultured prokaryote. RNAcentral describes it as "partial 16S ribosomal RNA". It matches the Rfam family "Bacterial small subunit ribosomal RNA", at positions 524 to 776 of the family's 1533-position model. The record is from RNAcentral.